UCGAAAUCAUUGCAAUCUGAUCAAAAAUUUAAUAUAUAAAAUACAAUUGAUAUCAAUAUUCUACAAGAGUAUUUUCUGGAAAUCUAGUUACAUAUUCGCCAAACCAAGAGUUAUAAUCGGUGAAGGAAACGUAAUUAUGAAUUGCUGUGUCAUCAAUGCACGUUGUUUAGUUGGUCGUGCUAAUUCCUCGAUGCGAAGAGAUGCAGAUUUUAUAGAGACUUGUGGUAUAUCAUGCUGAACAUUCAUAUAUAUAUAUA
Molecule: long non-coding RNA, 257 nt
Organism: Cataglyphis hispanica
Lineage: Eukaryota; Metazoa; Arthropoda; Insecta; Hymenoptera; Formicidae
Exons: 2
Source: RefSeq, a predicted model, not a curated record